RNAcentral lists this ribosomal RNA (468 nucleotides) under uncultured bacterium. RNAcentral's name for it is "partial 16S ribosomal RNA". It matches the Rfam family "Bacterial small subunit ribosomal RNA", at positions 28 to 507 of the family's 1533-position model. The record is from RNAcentral.
GACGGACGCUGGCGGCGUGCUUAACACAUGCAAGUCGAACGGAAAGGCCCUAGUUUUCUGGGGUACUCGAGUGGCGAACGGGUGAGUAACACGUGGGUGACCUGCCCUGCACUUUGGGAUAACUUCGGGAAACUGGGUCUAAUACCGGAUAGGAGCUCCUUCUACAUUGUGCGGGGUGAAGAGUUUCGGCGGUUGGGGAUGGCCUCGCGGCUUAUCAGCUUGUUGGUGGGGUAGUGGCCUACCAAGGCGUUGACGGGUAGCCGGCCUGAGAGGGUGGACGGCCACAUUGGGACUGAGACACGGCCCAGACUCCUACGGGAGGCAGCAGUGGGGAAUAUUGCACAAUGGGCGGAAGCCUGAUGCAGCAACGCCGCGUGGGGGAUGACGGCCUUCGGGUUGUAAACCGCUUUCGCCAGGGACGAAGCGUGUGUGACGGUAACGGGAAAAGAAGCACCGGCUAACUACGUG